GAGCUUGCCUAUAGAAAUUCUUCGGAAUGGACAUAGAUACAAGCUAGCGGCGGAUGGGUGAGUAACGCGUGGGUAACCUGCCCUUAAGUCUGGGAUACCAUUUGGAAACAGAUGCUAAUACCGGAUAAAAGCUACUUUCGCAUGAAAGAAGUUUAAAAGGCGGCGUAAGCUGUCGCUAAAGGAUGGACCUGCGAUGCAUUAGCUAGUUGGUAAGGUAACGGCUUACCAAGGCGAUGAUGCAUAGCCGAGUUGAGAGACUGAUCGGCCACAUUGGGACUGAGACACGGCCCAAACUCCUACGGGAGGCAGCAGUAGGGAAUCUUCCACAAUGGACGAAAGUCUGAUGGAGCAACGCCGCGUGAGUGAAGAAGGUUUUCGGAUCGUAAAGCUCUGUUGUUGGUGAAGAAGGAUAGAGGUAGUAACUGGCCUUUAUUUGACGGUAAUCAACCAGAAAGUCACGGCUAACUACGUGCCAGCAGCCGCGGUAAUACGUAGGUGGCAAGCGUUGUCCGGAUUUAUUGGGCGUAAAGCGAGCGCAGGCGGAUUGAUAAGUCUGAUGUGAAAGCCUUCGGCUCAACCGAAGAACUGCAUCAGAAACUGUCAAUCUUGAGUG
RNAcentral lists this ribosomal RNA (613 nucleotides) under Lactobacillus jensenii. RNAcentral describes it as "bacterial SSU rRNA". It matches the Rfam family "Bacterial small subunit ribosomal RNA", at positions 64 to 648 of the family's 1533-position model. Lineage: Bacteria; Bacillati; Bacillota; Bacilli; Lactobacillales; Lactobacillaceae. The record is from RNAcentral.